This 253-nucleotide ribosomal RNA is filed under the name uncultured bacterium. RNAcentral describes it as "partial 16S ribosomal RNA". It matches the Rfam family "Bacterial small subunit ribosomal RNA", at positions 524 to 776 of the family's 1533-position model. The record is from RNAcentral.
UACGGAGGGGGCGAGCGUUAUCCGGAAUUACUGGGUUUAAAGGGCGCGUAGGCGGCUAUGUAAGUCAGGUGUGAAAGUUUGCGGCUCAACCGUAAAAUUGCGUUUGAUACUGCAUAGCUAGAAUUAGGAUGAGGUCAGCGGAAUGUGGCAUGUAGCGGUGAAAUGCAUAGAUAUGCCAUAGAACACCAAUUGCGAAGGCAGCUGGCUAGACCUGGAUUGACGCUGAGGCACGAAAGCGUGGGGAGCGAACAGG